AUGAAUGGGGACAAUAAUCAUCUUUCACGUGUUUUAAUUCUCUUCUCAGGUUUGUUAUGGUUUAUUGUACUUCCCGUGGGUUUAGCAGCACUCUUAAUAACUGUUGUAAUCAUCAGAAGGAAGAAAGUUAAAGGAAAAGAAACACAGCUGGAUGGCAACACUGGACUGAGCUUAAACCCUGCAGAGACUCAGUCUGGACCAGGAACCAAUCAAUCCUGGGCUGGAGCUGAUGAUGGUGUUUCCUACGUCUCCAUCAGCUUCACCAAGAGGGCCAAGAACAAAGCCCGGUCCCGUGGUCAUGAUGAAGGUGACACUGUGACCUACAGCACUGUGAAAGCUUUCUCCUCUUCUGCUGGAGAUGAUCCCAACCACCUCUAUUCCACCAUCAGUGAUGUAAAGAAGUAGGAUGUUGCUCAUGAAAGGAGAUAUGUUAGAUGCUGUUUCACUUUUUAGAUGAGAGAGUGAAUGUGAAAAGUCAUGUGUUACUUUCAUGUCUGACGUGUGUUUUGUUUUGAACUGAUAACAUUAAUUGUUCUCUUAAGCGAACACACAUAGCUCUAUUUCUUCUUCUUCUUUUAUUUUUAUAAAUUCACUAUGAAAAUCACGAGGGCUACAUGUAUAAUAAGCAAAUUUAAAAUAUUAAAACAAGUGUUUUGUAAAGUCACUGAUAGAGCUGAGUCCAUCUCAAGCGGUGGGAAACGUA
Molecule: long non-coding RNA, 703 nt
Filed under: Oreochromis niloticus (Nile tilapia)
Lineage: Eukaryota; Metazoa; Chordata; Actinopteri; Cichliformes; Cichlidae
Description: lncRNA (ENSONIG00000031909.1)
Source: RNAcentral